UACGGGGGGGGCAAGCGUUGUUCGGAAUUACUGGGCGUAAAGGGCUCGUAGGCGGCCAACUAAGUCAGACGUGAAAUCCCUCGGCUUAACCGGGGAACUGCGUCUGAUACUGGAUGGCUUGAAUUCGGGAGAGGGAUGCGGAAUUCCAGGUGUAGCGGUGAAAUGCGUAGAUAUCUGGAGGAAUACCGGUGGCGAAGGCGGCAUCCUGGACCGGCAUUGACGCUGAUGAGCGAAAGCUAGGGGAGCAAACGGG
This 253-nucleotide ribosomal RNA is filed under the name uncultured bacterium. RNAcentral describes it as "partial 16S ribosomal RNA". It matches the Rfam family "Bacterial small subunit ribosomal RNA", at positions 524 to 776 of the family's 1533-position model. The record is from RNAcentral.